AUAUGGAGGGUGCAAGCGUUACUCGGAAUCACUGGGCGUAAAGCGCGCGCAGGCGGUCUUUUAAGUUGGAUGUGAAAGCCUACGGCUCAACCGUAGAACUGCAUCCAAAACUAUUAGACUAGAGUGUGGGAGAGGAAGAUGGAAUUAGUUGUGUAGGGGUAAAAUCCGUAGAGAUAUCUAGGAAUACCAAAAGCGAAGGCAAUCUUCUGGAACACUACUGACGCUGAGGCGCGAAGGCGUGGGGAGCAAACAGGAUUAGAAACCCGAGUAGUCC
This 274-nucleotide ribosomal RNA is filed under the name uncultured bacterium. RNAcentral's name for it is "partial 16S ribosomal RNA". It matches the Rfam family "Bacterial small subunit ribosomal RNA", at positions 523 to 796 of the family's 1533-position model. The record is from RNAcentral.